RNAcentral lists this ribosomal RNA (253 nucleotides) under uncultured bacterium. RNAcentral describes it as "partial 16S ribosomal RNA". It matches the Rfam family "Bacterial small subunit ribosomal RNA", at positions 524 to 776 of the family's 1533-position model. The record is from RNAcentral.
GACGAACCGAGCGAACGUUGUUCGGAAUCACUGGGCUUAAAGGGCGCGUAGGCGGGGUCAUAAGUCUGUGGUGAAAUCCUCCGGCUCAACCGGAGAACUGCCUCGGAUACUGUGGCUCUUGAGGGUGGUAGGGGUAUGCGGAACUAUCGGUGGAGCGGUGAAAUGCGUUGAUAUCGAUAGGAACUCCGGUGGCGAAGGCGGCAUACUGGACCACAUCUGACGCUGAGGCGCGAAAGCCAGGGGAGCGAACGGG